GGAUUAGAUACCCUGGUAGUCCACGCCGUAAACGAUGGUCACUCGAUAUUGGCGAUACACUGUCAGUGUCUAAGCGAAAGUGAUAAGUGACCCACCUGGGGAGUACGAUCGCAAGGUUGAAACUCAAAGGAAUUGACGGGGGCCCGCACAAGCGGUGGAGCAUGUGGUUUAAUUCGAUGAUACGCGAGGAACCUUACCAGGGCUUAAAUGCAUAAUGACAGGACUGGAAACAGUCUUUUCUUCGGACAGAAUGCAAGGUGCUGCAUGGCUGUCGUCAGCUCGUGCUG
Molecule: ribosomal RNA, 287 nt
Filed under: uncultured bacterium
Lineage: Bacteria
Description: partial 16S ribosomal RNA
Rfam family: Bacterial small subunit ribosomal RNA
Source: RNAcentral